UAGUCCACGCCGUAAACGAUGUCAACUAGCCGUCGGGUUCAUUUAGGAAUUUGGUGGCGCAGCUAACGCGAUAAGUUGACCGCCUGGGGAGUACGGCCGCAAGGUUAAAACUCAAAGGAAUUGACGGGGCCCGCACAAGCGGUGGAGCAUGUGGUUUAAUUCGAUGCAACGCGAAGAACCUUACCAGCCCUUGACAUCCAGUGAACUUUCUAGAGAUAGAUUGGUGCCUUCGGGAACACUGUGACAGGUGCUGCAUGGCUGUCGUCAGCUCGUGCCGUGAGAUGUUGGGUUAAGUCCCGCAACGAGCGCAACCCUCGUCCUUAGUUGCCAGCAUUAAGUUGGGGACUCUAGGGAGACCGCCGGGGAAAACUCGGGAGGAAGGUGAGGAUGACGUCAAGUCAGCAUGCCCCUUAUGUCUUGGGGCUACACACGUACUACAAUGGUUGGGGACAAAGGGGAAGCGAAACUGCG
RNAcentral lists this ribosomal RNA (471 nucleotides) under uncultured bacterium. RNAcentral describes it as "bacterial SSU rRNA". It matches the Rfam family "Bacterial small subunit ribosomal RNA", at positions 791 to 1259 of the family's 1533-position model. The record is from RNAcentral.